Molecule: ribosomal RNA, 400 nt
Filed under: Halamphora bonnevillensis
Lineage: Eukaryota; Bacillariophyta; Bacillariophyceae; Naviculales; Amphipleuraceae
Description: SSU rRNA
Rfam family: Eukaryotic small subunit ribosomal RNA
Source: RNAcentral
CCAGCAGCUGCGGUAAUUCCAGCUCCAAUAGCGUAUAUUAAAGUUGUUGCAGUUAAAAAGCUCGUAGUUGGAUUUGUGGUGGUCCCUGGGGUCCGAUUUCGGUGCUCUUGGGGACUGCCAUCUUUGGGUGGAUUCUGUGUGGCAUUAGGUUGUCGUGCAGGGGAUUCCCAUCGUUUACUGUGAAAAAAUUAGAGUGUUCAAAGCAGGCUUACGCCGUUGAAUAUAUUAGCAAGAUAGGACUCUGGUACUAUUUUGUUGGUUUGCGCAUCAGGGUAAUGAUUAAUAGGGAUAGUUGGGGGUAUUCGUAUUCCAUUGUCAGAGGUGAAAUUCUUGGAUUUCUGGAAGACGAACUAAUGCGAAAGCAUUUACCAAGGAUGUUUUCAUUAAUCAAGAACGAAAG